RNAcentral lists this ribosomal RNA (493 nucleotides) under Paralamyctes weberi. RNAcentral describes it as "partial 16S ribosomal RNA". It matches the Rfam family "Bacterial large subunit ribosomal RNA", at positions 1831 to 2600 of the family's 2925-position model. The record is from RNAcentral. Lineage: Eukaryota; Metazoa; Arthropoda; Chilopoda; Lithobiomorpha; Henicopidae.
CGUUUUUUGUGUUAUAUAAAAAAUAUCACCUGCCCAAUGAAAUUUAAAUGGCCGCGGUAUUUUGACCGUGCGAAGGUAGCAUAAUCAUUAGUCUAUUAAUUGUAGACUGGUAUGAAUGGUUGGAUAGGGAAAGACUGUUUCUUUAGUAAAAUUGAAUUUUAGGUUUUUGUGAAGACGCUAAAAUUAAUAUAUUAGACGAGAAGACCCUAUUAAGCUUAACCCCUUAAAUUUUUUUACGGGUUUAAAAUGUAGGGGGGUUUUAUUGGGGCGAUAUUAAGAAAUUAACUCUUAUUUUAAAAAGAUAUUAAUAAGUAGGAUGGAGAUAAUGAUCCAUAUAUAAUGAUUAUCAGAACAAGUUACUGUAGGGAUAACAGCGUAAUCUUAUUGGAGAGUUCUUAUUGAUAAUAAGGAUUGCGACCUCGAUGUUGAAUUAGGAUACCUAUAAGGUGCAGCCGUUUUAAAGGGUAGUCUGUUCGACUAUUAAAAUCCUACA